UACGUAGGGUGCAAGCGUUGUCCGGAAUUAUUGGGCGGAAAGAGCUCGUAGGCGGUCUGUUGCGUCGGCUGUGAAAACCCGAGGCUCAACCUCGGGCCUGCAGCCGAUACGGGCAGACUAGAGUUCGGCAGGGGAGACUGGAAUUCCUGGUGUAGCGGUGAAAUGCGCAGAUAUCAGGAAGAACACCCGUGGCUAAGGCGGCUCUCUAGUACGGUACUGACGCUGAGACGCGAAAGCGUGGGGAGCGAACAGG
This 253-nucleotide ribosomal RNA is filed under the name uncultured bacterium. RNAcentral describes it as "partial 16S ribosomal RNA". It matches the Rfam family "Bacterial small subunit ribosomal RNA", at positions 524 to 776 of the family's 1533-position model. The record is from RNAcentral.